AUGAAAAUAGUGAAUGUUAGUAAAAAUGACAAUAAAGAAAAAGAAUGUUUAUGGGUUUGGGAAAAUGAUAAUUAUGAUUUGUUUCCUGCUUUGUAUAAAGAAAUAUUUAAAUAUUUUAAAGAACUUCGUAAUAUUAUGAGUAAAAUAUACAAAACAUUAAAUAAAUUAAAAAAUUUGAUUCUAUCGAAAGAUUUACAAAAUGUUAUAAAAAUACAUGAUUACUUAAAUGAAUUGAAAAAGAAACAAUACUUAGAAUCUGAAAAAAGGUGUAAAAGAAUAUUAAUCGAAAAAAAAAAAAAUCUCAAGAAAAAAAUGGAAUUAAAAAAACUAGAAGAAAAAAAAAAAAAAUUAGAAGAAGUUAAAGCAUUAGAAGAAAAAAAAAAUUCCACAAUUAUUAAAUUAGAUAGCGCAGUUGUUCAAAAUAAUAAAGCAGAAGAAAAAAAACCGAAACAACAAAAUCUUAUUAUGUCAUGGCUAACUCUUAAAAAAGCACCAACAAUAAACACAGUUACUGUACCUGAUGACACAACAAAACAAACCCUUGAAAAAUACCCCACUGUUAGUGUAUUUAGCUUUAACGAGGAACAUAAAGAUAAAAUAUUGGAUGCGCAAAACAGACUUCCCAUAUUUAAAUGUAACAAAAGCAUUGGACACAUGCCAAAUUUGCUAUUGCAGAGUAACGGAAGCAUUGACAAGCAAGAAUUGUUCACAAAUUAUGUGGAUGUAUGUAUAAAUCAUAAAAAUGCUGUGAUUGAUUACUUUAAAGUUUACGAAGAUAAUCAAGAAUUUUUUGAAGAAAUUCCUUCAAUCGAUAGUAUUGAUGGAAAUAAAAUAAUUAUGCAGAGUGAAAAAAAUGUAAGAGCUAAACUUUGGGAGGAUGAAGAAUUUUAUUUAAAAUUAAAAGAUGCCGAUACUAUUAGAAGUUUUUAUUUUUAUGAUAGUUCGUGGACAAGACCUUAUAUGUCUUUAUUGGUUCACAAAGUUUUAGACGACAAUAUAAAUUUAUUUCCUUUUUACUAUCAUGAUGAUAUGGAAUACGAAAAUGACACUAAUGAGGAUUAUUAUGAAAGGUUUGAAGCGAUUGACUUAACAACUGAAAAUGAAGAUAAUGAAACGGAGAGUGAUGGAAGUUCACAAGACAUGUUUAUUGUUCCCGAUAACGAACUUGAUACAGAUAUUGGUAUAACUCCUAUUACUAUACCGACAAGUCAAGACAUUCAUUUUUUUUCCCUUUUUGAUUGGGAAUGGACAUUUGAAGGAAAUCCAAAACGCAACUAUAACAUUAUUGAUAAAAAUACAUGGAAGGAAUUUAACUUGAUUAACAAAGAGAAUGUGUAUGGGUGCCAACACAUGUUCUGGGGAAAAGACAACAACCCUUUCAAAUACAUGUCUGACAAAAGCAACUUAAAAAACGUUUUGGAUACAUACGAUAUUAAGAAAUUAAUAAAACAUUCUCAUGGAAAAGUAAUUAAAAAGGAUAUUCUUGUUGAUCAGUUUAAAAUGAAAAAUGAGCACCUAACAAAAGCAGACACAGAAAGAAAAUUCAAGACUUAUUUAACAUAUAAAAAGUGUGAGGACAAUAGAAAGAAAUGGAUGGCAUCAGAAGAAGGAAUUAAACUUUUCAAAAAUGAAGAAUUAUUGGCAAAAAUAUAUGAUAUCAGAAAACGAAAAUUAAACUUAAUAUCCAAAAAAAUAGAAGCAGUAAAAAAGCAAAAAAAAAUGCAUAAAGAAAAUUUAAAAAAGCUAGAAAAAUCAAAAAAGCAAGAAAAAUCAACUGAAGAAAGGAGCAAAAUUGAUGAAAACGAAAAAAUUGACGAAAAUGUGGAAAAUAGUGAAAACGAAAAAAUUGACGAAAAUAUGGAAGAUAGUGAAAAUACGAAAGAUAGUGAAAACACGGAAGAUAGUGAAAACACGAAAGAUAGUGAAAACACGAAAGAUAGUGAAAACAUGAAAGACAUUGAGCACGUACAGGAUAAUCAAAUUGAAGAAAAUAAUUUAACAUCAGCCAAGCAAAUAAUAGUAGAAGAAAAAUAAAUCUAUCACUGCUUGUUAAGGAGUAAUAAAAAACGCAUAUAAAUAAAAAAAAAACA
This is a long non-coding RNA of Piliocolobus tephrosceles (Ugandan red Colobus), 2090 nucleotides long. The record is from Ensembl. Lineage: Eukaryota; Metazoa; Chordata; Mammalia; Primates; Cercopithecidae.